Molecule: ribosomal RNA, 253 nt
Filed under: uncultured bacterium
Lineage: Bacteria
Description: partial 16S ribosomal RNA
Rfam family: Bacterial small subunit ribosomal RNA
Source: RNAcentral
UACGGGGGGGGCAAGCGUUGUUCGGAAUUACUGGGCGUAAAGGGCGCGUAGGCGGCCUGCUAAGUCGGACGUGAAAUCCCUCGGCUCAACCGAGGAACUGCGUCCGAUACUGGUGGGCUUGAAUCCGGAAGGGGCUACUGGAAUUCUCGGUGUAGCGGUGAAAUGCGUAGAUAUCGAGAGGAACACCUGCGGCGAAGGCGGGUAGCUGGGCCGACACUGACGCUGAUGCGCGAAAGCCAGGGGAGCGAACGGG